AUCUGACGAAUGUUGUUCGGUGUCUCUGCGGUGAGGGUGAACCCGGCGAUGAGGGUAGGUAUCUCAGCAAAGAAAAAUACUAUGAUUCACAAAUCACAAUAGAUUCUCGAGAUCUUCAACUACAAUAAACAAUUUCGAUUUUAGCAUACAUAAAUUAUAUUGGCAGAGAAUAUUAUAGGCAAUAAAUAAGUAGAAUAGAUAAACAUUUGUUAAUUCUAAUUCUUAAUUUAUUGAAGAACCUUUUGAUUUAAUUCAAAUAUCAAACAUCAUUCAAUGCUUCAACAAAAACCAGUUUGCGGUUCACCUCAAAGAAAAAUAGUCUUUUAAAUACCAAAUUAUUUAUGUCUAUGAAUAAACUUCCAUUUAUAAUUGACAUUCAAGAUGUAGAACAACACAAUAAUUACAAAAAAAAAAAAAUUAACUAAAUAGAGAACAAAAUAGUAUCACAAGAAAUUGAAAAACAGCUCAGAUUUUGGGAUUAAUAAAAUCAUGAAAUAAAUAAAUCAAAGAAAUUGAAAAAUUCAAUUAUACCUGUGUGGGUGCAUGCUUGUAAUGAGAUGAGAGAUGGGUUCAAUGGGUUGUGAGAAGUGGAGUUUAAUUAGAUGGGGGUCUGGGUAUGAGAGAGAUGGGGUUAGAAGUGGGGUUUGAUGGUGGUGGCAGUUAUGGGAUUCAAUGGAGGUGGUGGUUAUGCAAUUCGAUGGUAUUGAGAUGAGAGAAGAAGGUGAGAUGUGGGUUGAUACAAAUGAAGGUCGUGUGUGAAAGAAGAGAGGGAAUUGGAAAUUUGUUGAGCGCCAAUUGCUAAAAUUAAUCCGCUUUGUUUUUUUAAUUUUUCAAAAAUCCUCUUUUUGUUAGGAGUAUAGGAUAGCGUUCAGC
Molecule: long non-coding RNA, 873 nt
Filed under: Medicago truncatula (barrel medic)
Lineage: Eukaryota; Viridiplantae; Streptophyta; Magnoliopsida; Fabales; Fabaceae
Description: long non-coding RNA (MTRU_LNC005180)
Source: RNAcentral